RNAcentral lists this long non-coding RNA (1262 nucleotides) under Cercocebus atys (sooty mangabey). Its description in RNAcentral is "lncRNA (ENSCATG00000045911.1)". Lineage: Eukaryota; Metazoa; Chordata; Mammalia; Primates; Cercopithecidae. The record is from RNAcentral.
GUUGCUGCCUAGAGAAAGUGCCUUUGGCAUUUGUCAGGGUCACAGGGCAGAGGCAGCUCCAGGGGGGAUCUCUGACCCUUCCCAAGCAGUGAAAGUUGGGAAGUGUCUCCCCCCGCAGCUGUGGCUUCCAGCAGAGACCGGAGACUAGAACCAGCAGCACUUACAGAGAUUUAUAGCCCAUGGAAAAGAGCUUCUCAGCUCACAUGUUUACUUCGGAGAACUCUGUGGAGGCAUCAAGGGCCAGGGUCAACAUACACCACUGCAGCUUUGUCUCUCAAGCGUUUCGGGCCAUGUUAUGUGUUUGGAAGACAACAAUGGGGAGGAAAGGCUGUUUAUGUGGUUUUUGUAAAAUAUGCAGAAGCUAUGAAAAUAAGUGCUCUAUCAAUAAUAAAUGGAAUGGAAAAUAGAAGCAAACAAGUCAAAGAAAGAUGCGGUGGAAGCCACUGAGCCGGCCAGAGAAAGAGCAAGCUGAACGACCAUCAGAGGUUUGUCUUUGGCUCCAUUGCUAAGAGGAACAGCCUGGAAAUGCUCCAAACCACUGAAUGGAGUGGACUACUCCUCUGUGUUGGAUGCCCGGCUUGUCUUCCAUCCUAGUGGUGUGGUCUUCCAUUGACGUUGAUGAUUCAUGAGAUGCACUUUAGCAUCUGACCAUCCUCAGUUUGGAUUCCAGUCAUGUGUCUUAGCCUCAAUUUCUUUAUCCUUAAAAGCAAGAGCUUUAAGUGGGAUUCUACAUGUAAAUCUCUUAGCAUCCUCUCUGGGACACAUUAAAUGCUGGGAAAUUGAUGAUGAGUAUGACUGAUUGAAUGGGGCUGGGGUUCUUUGGUGUAGUCCUUGCUGGAUGGCCGCAAGCAAAGGGGAAGGAAUGAGGGGCUUCCCAAAUCUCAUCCACUGGAAAUGUGCUGGCUGUAAUUAUUUGCUGACAGAAAAGUUUACUUUUCAAAGGAAAAAGUGAUCCUUCCUUUCAAGUAUAAAUAAGAUUCUGAAGGUGGGGAAGUGGAUUUUAAAGUAUCGGCUUUGAAGAGUGGUUUCCAAGUAUUUAUUUCUAAAUAAUGAGUUAAAACUCUAAUCACUCAAUGAGUUCUGAAAAGACCUGGAAUGGGGGAGUGCUAUAUAGUUAUUGCUUUAAAAAGCUUUCUUGUCCAAGUAUUUUUGCCUUUAAGGCUUUGUGAAAGCAUCAAACCCUCUCCUCUUCCUUCCCCCCUCCUCUCCCGCCCCCCUUGCUAGCUUUGGAAAUGUUACAGCUCAGCUCUGGGCUGCCCACC